CUACACAUGCAGUCGAACGAAGUAGCAAUACUUAGUGGCAGACGGGUGAGUAACAUGUAGGUAUCUGCCCUUUGGCCUGGAAUAACACGAGGAAACUUGUGCUAAUACCGGAUAAGUCUUUACGGAGAAAGCUUUAUGCACCAUUGGAUGAGCCUGCACUUGAUUAGUUUGUUGGUGGGGUAAUGGCCUACCAAGACUGUGAUCAAUAGCUGAUUUGAGAGGAUGAUCAGCCACAUUGGGACUGAGACACGGCCCAAACUCCUACGGGAGGCAGCAGUGGGGAAUCUUGCACAAUGGAGGAAACUCUGAUGCAGCGAUGCCGCGUGAGUGAAGAAGGCCCUUGGGUUGUAAAGCUCUUUCGUCGGGGAAGAAAAUGACUGUACCCGAAUAAGAAGGUCCGGCUAACUUCGUGCCAGCAGCCGCGGUAAUACGAAGGGACCUAGCGUAGUUCGGAAUUACUGGGCUUAAAGAGUUCGUAGGUGGUUGAAAAAGUUAGUGGUGAAAUCCCAGAGCUUAACUCUGGAACUGCCAUUAAAACUUUUCAGCUAGAGUAUGAUAGAGGAAAGUAGAAUUUCUAGUGUAGAGGUGAAAUUCGUAGAUAUUAGAAAGAAUACCAAUUGCGAAGGCAGCUUUCUGGAUCAUUACUGACACUGAGGAACGAAAGCAUGGGUAGCGAAGAGGAUUAGAUACCCUCGUAGUCCAUGCCGUAAACGAUGUGUGUUAGACGUUGGAAAUUUAUUUUCAGUGUCGCAGGGAAACCGAUAAACACACCGCCUGGGGAGUACGACCGCAAGGUUAAAACUCAAAUGAAUUGACGGGACCCGCACAAGUAGUGGAGCAUGUGGUUUAAUUCGAAGAUACGCGCAGAACCUUACCAACGCUUGACAUGUUCGUCGCGACUCUAGAGAUUAGGCUUUUCAGUUCGGCUGGACGAACACAGUGCUGCAUGGCUGUCGUCAGCUCGUGCCGU
This 970-nucleotide ribosomal RNA is filed under the name uncultured bacterium. RNAcentral describes it as "bacterial SSU rRNA". It matches the Rfam family "Bacterial small subunit ribosomal RNA", at positions 49 to 1068 of the family's 1533-position model. The record is from RNAcentral.